CUCCAGACUCCUACGGGAGGCAGCAGUGGGGAAUAUUGCACAAUGGGGGAAACCCUGAUGCAGCGACGCCGCGUGAGCGAUGAAGUAUUUCGGUAUGUAAAGCUCUAUCAGCAGGGAAGAAAAUGACGGUACCUGACUAAGAAGCCCCGGCUAACUACGUGCCAGCAGCCGCGGUAAUACGUAGGGGGCAAGCGUUAUCCGGAUUUACUGGGUGUAAAGGGAGCGUAGACGGCUUGGCAAGCCAGAUGUGAAAGGCCGGGGCUCAACCCCAGGACUGCAUUUGGAACUGUCAUGCUAGAGUGUCGGAGAGGCAGGCGGAAUUCCUAGUGUAGCGGUGAAAUGCGUAGAUAUUAGGAGGAACACCAGUGGCGAAGGCGGCCUGCUGGACGAUGACUGACGUUGAGGCUCGAAAGCGUGGGGAGCAAACAGGAUUAGAUACCCGAGUAUC
This 448-nucleotide ribosomal RNA is filed under the name uncultured bacterium. Its description in RNAcentral is "bacterial SSU rRNA". It matches the Rfam family "Bacterial small subunit ribosomal RNA", at positions 329 to 794 of the family's 1533-position model. The record is from RNAcentral.